AGGUAUUUAGUCCAAGACAAGACUUUUGAUUUCGGCUCAAAAAAUUGUGGUUUAAGUCCACAACUACCUU
Molecule: non-coding RNA, 70 nt
Organism: Esox lucius (northern pike)
Lineage: Eukaryota; Metazoa; Chordata; Actinopteri; Esociformes; Esocidae
Source: Ensembl